RNAcentral lists this ribosomal RNA (440 nucleotides) under uncultured bacterium. Its description in RNAcentral is "partial 16S ribosomal RNA". It matches the Rfam family "Bacterial small subunit ribosomal RNA", at positions 338 to 795 of the family's 1533-position model. The record is from RNAcentral.
CCUACGGGAGGCUGCAGUAGGGAAUCUUUCACAAUGGGGGAAACCCUGAUGCAGCGACGCCGCGUGCGUGAUGAAGGCCUUCGUUAUGUAAAGCUCUAUCAGCAGGGAAGAAAAUGACGGUACCUGAGUAAGAAGCCUCGGCUAACUACGUGCCAGCAGCCGCGGUAAUACGUAGGAGGCAAGCUUUAUCCGGAUUUACUGGGUGUAAAGGGAGCUUAGACGGCAGUUCAAGUCUGGGGUGAAAGGCGGGGGCUCAACCCACGGACUACUCGGGAAACUGUACGGCGGGAGUGCAGGAGAGGUAAGUGGAAUUUCUAGUGUAGCGGUGAAAUGCGUAGAUAUUAGGAGGAACACCAGUGGCGAAGGCGGGUUACUGGACUGUAACUGACGUUGAGGCUCGAAAGCGUAGGGAGCAAACAGGAUUAGAUACCCUUGUAGUC